UGCCUUGAGAGGUGCUUUCUGCAGGCGGGGACGCGGCCAGGCCGGACGCAAGGCCUCCCUCCAAUCUACCGGGCUCAGGGGGACGUCCAGGGGCUGCUCAGUCUACUUGGCGGGCUAGGGAGGGGGAUGGCAGAGGCUGGUUGGGUCUUCUCAGCACACAGUAGGCGCCUAAUUAGCGUGACCUGAAUCAGAGUCCCUUCGGAUUUGCGCCAUGCGCGGCGGGGAGAACCGGCCUCCUGCUCGAGUUCAGAGCUCAUCUGAGGAAUUGGAAUUGAGACACCAAAGCCUAGACGCGUUUCCUGGACGACGGCUUCCCGGCAGGGGCAUCCAGCCAGCGGCCAAGAUGUCGUCAGUGGGGAAGGUGACCCAGGUUCCGAAUGGGAAAGCCUACCAGCAGAUCUUCCAGGCUGAGGUGCAGCUGGUCCACUCCCUGGCGGCCACCAGGAAGCGGGCUGCAGAGCGUUCUGUGACCCUGAAGAGUGGCAGGAUACCCAUGAUGAAGAAGGUGGAGACUCCUGAAGGGGAGGUGAUGUCUCCCCGACAGCAGAAGUGGAUGCACAGCCUCCCCAACGACUGGAUCAUGGAAAACCCUGUUCUCCACAGGGAAAAGGAAAGAGCCAAGAGGGAAAAAGCCCAAGAGAGUGAGAACACCAUCGCUGCCCGAGAAGUGCGGGGUCUCAUGGAUACUAUAGUUCCUGAGAAGAUAAGCACCAGCACCUUUCAAAGGCGAGCAGAACACAAGAGGAGGAGCUACGAGAGCGCUCUGGCCAGCUUUCAGGAGGAGAUUGCGCAGGAAAUGGAACCUCUCAUCGUGGACACAGGGGGACUUUUUUUGAAGAAGCUGACUGAGUCUGAUGAAGAAAUGAACCGUCUCUUCCUAAAGGUGGAAAAUGACACCAACCUUGAGGACUACACCAUCCAAGCCCUGCUGGAGCUGUGGGAUAAGGUGGCCGGGCGGUUACUGCUCCGGAAGCAGGAGAUUAAGGAGCUGGAUGAGGCCCUGCACUCGGUGGAGUUCUCCCGAGCCGAUAAACUAAAAAGCGUGUUGAAGAAAUAUGCAGAAGUCAUAGAGAAAACUUCCUACCUCAUGCGGCCCGACGUGUACAGGCUGAUAAAUGAAGAAGCCAUGGUCAUGAACUAUGCCCUGCUGGGCAACCGGAAGGCUCUCGCCCAGCUGUUUGUCAACCUGAUGGAGUCCACCCUGCAGCAGGAGCUGGACAGCCGCCACCGCUGGCAAGGCUUGGUGGACACCUGGAAGGCUCUCAAGAAGGAGGCCCUGCUGCAGAGUUUCAGUGAGUUCAUGGCCAGUGAGAGUAUCCAUACUCCCCCGGCUGUGACGAAGGAGCUAGAGGUCAUGCUGAAGACCCAGAACGUCCUGCAGCAAAGGCGGCUGAAGCACCUCUGCACCAUCUGUGACCUCCUGCCCCCCAAUUACAGCAAAACUCAGCUGACUGAGUGGCAUUCUUCCCUCAACUCCCUGAACAAGGAGCUAGACACCUACCACGUGGACUGCAUGAUGCGGAUCCGCCUGCUGUAUGAGAAGACGUGGCAGGAGUGCCUGAUGCAUGUGCAGAAUUGUAAGAAGCAGCUGCUGGACUGGAAAGCCUUCACUGAGGAGGAGGCAGAGACCCUGGUGAACCAGUUCUUCUUCCAGAUGGUGGGAGCGCUCCAGGGCAAAGUGGAGGAGGACCUGGAGCUCUUGGACAAAUCCUUCGAGACUCUGGCAGAUCAGACAGAGUGGCAGAGUUCGCACCUCUUCAAGUAUUUCCAGGAGGCGGUACAACUGUGGGAGGCACACCAGAGCGAGCUGUUGGUGCAGGAGCUGGAGCUGGAGAAGAGGAUGGAGCAGCACCGGCAGAAGCACAGCCUGGAGAGCCAGGUGCAGGAGGCCCACCUCGAUAGGCUCUUGGACCAACUGAGGCAGCAAAGUGACAAAGAAACACUGGCGUUUCACCUGGAAAAGGUCAAAGAUUAUCUGAAGAACAUGAAAUCCAGGUAUGAAUGUUUUCACACCCUCCUGACAAAGGAAGUGAUGGAGUACCCAGCGAUCAUGCUGAAAGAACUCAACUCCUACAGCUCUGCCCUCAGCCAAUACUUCUUUGUGCAUGAAAUCUUUGAACAGAACUUGGCUGGAGAAGUCAUUUUCAAAUUCAGGCAACCAGAAGCACAUGAAAAACCCUCCCAGAAGAGAGUGAAAAAACUGAGGAAGAAGCAAGGGUCUAAAGAGGACAUGAGCAGAAGUGAGGAAAGCAUAAGUAGUGGGACAAGUACUGCCAGGUCAGUAGAAGAGGUGGAAGAAGAAAACGAUCAAGAAAUGGAGUCCUUCAUAACUGAAGAGGUGCUGGGGCAGCAGAAAAAAUCUCCACUGCAUGCUAAGAUGGAUGAGUCCAAAGAAGGCUCUAUUCAGGGACUGGAAGAAAUGCAGGUUGAAAGAGAGGGCUCCUUAAACCCAUCCCUGAAUGAGGAGAAUGUGAAGGGUCAAGGAGAAAAGAAGGAGGAGUCAGAGGAGGAAGAUGAGAAGGAGGAAGAGGAGAAGGAGGAGGAGAAGCUGGAGGAAGAGAAGGAGGAGAAGGAGGCACAGGAAGAGCAAGAGAGUUUAUCUGUGGGUGAGGAAGAAGACAAGGAAGAGGGUCUAGAGGAGAUAUGCUAUGAGGACAUGGAGUCCUUCACAAUCUCCAGUGGAAACACUUAUUUUGUCUUUGUACCCCUGGAAGAAGAAGAGCAUUGCAGGAAGUCCCAUUCCACCUUCUCAGCCAUGUUCAUCAACGACACUUCCAGUGCCAAGUUCAUAGAACAAGUGACAAUUCCAUCGAGACUAAUUUUAGAAAUGAAGAAACACCGGGCAUGGUGGUGUGUGCCUGUAAUUCCAGCUACUCAAGAGGCUGAAGCAGGAGAAUUGCCUGAACCCAGGAGGCGGAGGUUACAGUGAACCAAGAGAGUGCUGCUGCACUCCCGACUGGGAGACAGAGUGAAACUCCGUCUCAAAAAAAAAUUAAAUUAUAUAUUCUAUAUAAGGCUUUGUCAGAUAAAUAAAUGGCAAAUGUUC
This 3046-nucleotide small RNA is filed under the name Pan troglodytes (chimpanzee). RNAcentral describes it as "processed transcript". Lineage: Eukaryota; Metazoa; Chordata; Mammalia; Primates; Hominidae. The record is from RNAcentral.